GAUGAAGAACGUAGCGAAAUGCGAUAAGUAAUGUGAAUUGCAGAAUUCAGUGAAUCAUCGAAUCUUUGAACGCACAUUGCGCCCGCCAGUAUUCUGGCGGGCAUGCCUGUCUGAGCGUCAUUUCAACCCUCAUGCCCCUAGGGCGCGGUGUUGGGGAUCGGCCAAAGCCCGCGAGGGACGGCCGGCCCCUAAAUCUAGUGGCGGACCCGUCGUGGCCUCCUCUGCGAAGUAGUGAUAUUCCGCAUCGGAGAGCGAUGAGCCCCUGCCGUUAAACCCCCAACUUUCCAAGGUUGACCUCAGAUCAGGUAGGAAUACCCGCUGAACUUAAGCAUAGCAAUAAGCGGAGGA
Molecule: unclassified non-coding RNA, 348 nt
Filed under: soil metagenome
Description: partial contains 5.8S ribosomal RNA, internal transcribed spacer 2, and large subunit ribosomal RNA
Rfam family: 5.8S ribosomal RNA (bases 1-120)
Source: RNAcentral